RNAcentral lists this ribosomal RNA (312 nucleotides) under uncultured bacterium. RNAcentral describes it as "bacterial SSU rRNA". It matches the Rfam family "Bacterial small subunit ribosomal RNA", at positions 29 to 329 of the family's 1533-position model. The record is from RNAcentral.
AACGAACGCUGGCGGCGCGUCUUAAGCAUGCAAGUCGAACGGCAAGAUUUUGUAGCUUGCUACAAAAUCCUAGAGUGGCGGACUGGUGAGUAACACGUGGGUGACGUACCUUUCAGAUGGGGAUAGCUACUAGAAAUAGUAGAUAAUACCGAAUACGACCACAGGGGUUAGAGACCUGUGAGGAAAGGAGCUAAGGCUCCGCUGAAAGAUUGGCCGCGGCCCAUUAGCUAGUUGGUAGGGUAAAGGCCUACCAAGGCAAUGAUGGGUAUCCGGCCUGAGAGGGUGAUCGGACACAUUGGGACUGAGAUACGG